GAUGAACGCUAGCGGCAGGCUUAACACAUGCAAGUCGAGGGGCAGCACGUCUUCGGAUGGUGGCGACCGGCGCACGGGUGCGUAACGCGUAUACAACCUACCUUAUAGAGGGGAAUAGCCCAGAGAAAUUUGGAUUAAUGCCCCAUAGUAUUAUUGAAUAGCAUUAUUUGAUGAUUAAACAUUUAUGGCUAUAAGAUGGGUAUGCGUUCUAUUAGCUAGAUGGUAAGGUAACGGCUUACCAUGGCAACGAUAGAUAGGGGUCCUGAGAGGGAGAUCCCCCACACUGGUACUGAGACACGGACCAGACUCCUACGGGAGGCAGCAGUGAGGAAUAUUGGACAAUGGGCGAGAGCCUGAUCCAGCCAUGCCGCGUGCAGGAAGACGGCCCUAUGGGUUGUAAACUGCUUUUAUACGGGAAGAAACACUCCUUCGUGAAGGAGCUUGACGGUACCGUAAGAAUAAGGAUCGGCUAACUCCGUGCCAGCAGCCGAC
This 492-nucleotide ribosomal RNA is filed under the name uncultured bacterium. RNAcentral's name for it is "bacterial SSU rRNA". It matches the Rfam family "Bacterial small subunit ribosomal RNA", at positions 28 to 518 of the family's 1533-position model. The record is from RNAcentral.